CCCAGAGGCCGCCUGGGGGCGGGCCGCGCCUCCAGAGCCCCAGCCCUGCUCGGGCUCUGCUCCGGUUCAGCUCUCUUCCCCUAAUUGGCUUCUCCCGGGAGUGCUUGCUUGGAAGCGUCCGAGCGUCGGAGGCGUCCACGGUUCUCGGGACGCGGCGUAAGCCGCUCCAACUACUUUGAGCCAGUCCUGUCCGAAGCCUGCAAGUUUGAGGACUCCCUUCCAGGGUGAGAUGGUCGCGAUGAAGCGCGGUACCCCUGGCUAUACGCACCCCCCGACGCGCCUGGCGCGCGGUGGCCGCGCGCUGAUUUAUAGGUUCGGUGUUUGGGUGUGUUUCAGGUUUGCUAUCGUAUCCAGUUUAGAGGCGUAAAAUUCCUGCCCUGCACCGCGCCUAGUUGCUAUUUUGGGGGAAGCCGGGAUCACUGGAGAGGCCGGUAUCCCAGAGGAGGGGAGAUCUCUCUUUAGGUGCUGCAGGUCGUUACAAACUCCAGAGAUGCGCGGCCCCUCCCCCCAUCCUUCUUGCGAGUGUUGGGGGGAGGGGUAAUGCACUAGCUUUUCCCAGGGAAAUUUCGGAAUAAAAACUUUUUAUUAAAAAUAACAAUACCCUCUUCCCCCCUCCCCGCCGCGCGCCUUUCGGAUAAAGUGUGCGUUGCCAGAUUCGCACUUGGCAGAGAUUUUACAUAGUCAUAGUCCUGACAUUAAAGUUCCCGGUCCGCGAUCGUCAGAAGGUUAAGCUGGUCCUUUGUGCGCCGGCCUCCGGCUAGACCAAGUCUCCGUGCUCUCGGCGGCCAGUGGAGGCGCGCUGGUGACACUGUCUCGCUUCGAGUACCACUUUCCCAGCCCCAAUCCAUCACUCCGAUUGUCAGGCCUGUCGCUCGGGGCAUAUUGCUCCAGGACUACCCGUCCCCGACUCUGCCGCGCCUUGAGACAACAUGAGAACUCAAGAUGGGGAUAGGUGAUUUCAAAGGGGCUCUUCAAACAGAAAGAAAUAACUAUCACGGAAAUAACAAAUAGCAAUCACGAACCUUUAUCAUGCCCAGUGAAGACAGCAGGCACCACUCCCAGGCCAUGACAAUCAUACACUAAACUAAAUCUACUCCCUGGAUCCGUGCUGAUUUUUGGGGCAGUAUGAGUGGACCUCUUAGCAAUACACAGGUUAAAAAAAUGCCAAGGGCUGCCCUGACUGGGAGAUGUCUUUCAUACUGCAGCAAGAGGGAUACAAGCAGGGGGGGAUCCCAUUUAUUUUAUUGUGGUGGUCUCUAUUCCCCGCCCCCCCAGCUCUUCUCAUGCCAGCCUCUGAAGUCUGACAUUGCUGUCACUGCCAAUACUACAUUACAGGGCUUCUUCAACCUACAGGGCCGUUCGGCCUUUGGGAGACUGCUAUGCCGACAGCGAACAGGAGAGUGCCUUCCAGAGUGGAGAGGGUGGGCCUUUGGGGCACCUUGGAGGAGGAAGAGCUGGGAAGAGGGGAGACCUAGGGGACAGUAAAAGAUGAAAGACUCCUUCUUGAUUAUUGUAACUAGCCCAGCUGUGAAAGCCCACCAAGAACUCCUUCUAGGGCCCAAGCAGAUGUGUGUGUUAGGAAUGAUUAAUGGGAAAUCAGUUGGGAGGAAAGGGGAGGGGGAGAGAGAGAAAGGGCAUUUAGGAAUUUGGAAGGAAAAGAGGAGCAGGAGGCAGCAGAAAGGAGAGAGGAGAACAGAGGAUGAUAGAAUGUUUACUCUCUAUUUGGAGAGGAAGAGAGAAGAAGAAGGUAGUGAACGAAUGAAAGAAAGGGAGAAAGGCGGAGGCUGGGACAGGAUGGCUCGUGGUGGCGGGUGGGGAAUUUGCCUAGGUAAUAAUAUAUUGUCCUUUAAAAAACCCCACUCCCUUAGCUCACAGCAGUAAUCACUGAUAGGAACAGUGGGCGCCAGACAGCGUGGAGGUGGAGACCAGACCUGGCGUCCCCCUACUCCCACCACAUUGGAAAAUGCUAACAAGGGAGUAGGGACACCCUUCCCUUUGGGGUGCUGGUAAGGGCAGCAGGGCUCCUUUGCCUGGCUCCAUCCAUUUGCCUUAGGAGAGAACAUGGAACACCAUAAUUAGCCAGGCCGGAAGCCUAAUUAAAAGACAGCUAGAGGAUUAUUACAAUCAGGAUCUGACAUUCACUUACCUGAACCUGUAACCUAUACAGAGUCCUAAAAGGGGCCCUAGUAGUCUAAAGCAAGGACAGCUUUCAAAGGAAUGGCUUGUCACCAGAAGAGAAUAAGGCUCAGUAUUCAGUUGGGCCAGGUUUAUUGAGGGCCAGCUGUAGGCAGAGCAUGUGCUAGGGGUGUGGUUGAAAAGUCCGUGCAAGACGUUGUCGCAGAGGGUAUAUGGCACACGGCCUCCCCUUGCAGAAAAGUGGCAGAUGUAUGAUUAAGGGGUCUCCAUCUAUCCAGGCCCUUCUCAGAUUGCCCUGGGAGUGAGCAGCACCAUUAAAAUAGGACAGGGGUGAGCGCUGCUGGAGACUGCCCCGUGCCAUUGUGGUGAAGAGUAACAAUUCUAUGCUGCUGGAGACUGCCCCGUGCCAUUGUGGUGAAGAAUAACAAUUCUGUGCGUGGGGCACUUGAUAAACAUCAGGUACUGUUGUCAUGCCCAUUGACAACUGAAGAGAGGGAGGCGUGGAGAACUUAGUCCCUUGCCCAAAGUCACAUGCCGGGUGAGUGGCAGAACGGUCACUUGGGGUCUGGGCUCUGGGAGGCAGGCCUCUGAACCAUGAUGCUGGGGUGGUCCCUGGCAAGCUAACCUCCCCAAGCUGUUGUUUCUCAUGUGCGAAACGCAAGAGUGGCCACCUCAGAGUUGGGAGGCCGGAAGCAGACAACGCAUGUCACACGUUUAGUGCUUGGCACUAAGAAAGGCACAGGUAAAUGAGGGCUGUGGUCCAUGCAUCAUCUGUGGGGCAGUUGCUCUGGAGAGCAGCCAUGGUGCCAACCGAUCCGGAGGGCACAGACCAGAAGACCCAAGCUGUCCAAGAAUUCUCCGGAAAUGAGAGUCACCCCCUCCCCCAGCCACCAGUCAAAUCUGUCUUUUAAAAAAAUGCCCCCACAAGCCAUCAAGAAAAUCCUUUAGGAAAUUCUGAAUAUUUAUAGAUUUUUUUCCACGACUUCAAUUUACAGAAAAUUCGCCACCCAGGAAAAAAUGCCUGAGUCAGGUGGAGAGCUAGAGGUGGGAGGUUUGUUGUGUGGGGUUACCGUGGAGCUUUCCAUCCUCGCUGAGGCAGAAUUGCCUGAAUGAUCGGCUCUCUCUGCAUAACACUCAAACCCUAAUGGCAACAACGUGAAGUAAUAUCUCACUGGGUAACUAUUUACAUUUUUUUUUUUUUAAUAAGCUGUAAGAACUCUGAAAAGUCUGCCUCAUAGAGAACUUGGUUUUCCUCCCUGGCGCUUAAUAUCUUUCAGCGGCUGGCAAUUACUGUCUUGGCCGGGAGCCCUGAUUUCGCGCACUGCGCUCAGGGCACUCGGAGGCGCUUCCUCCGUCUGCCCCAUCCCCGGGCUGCAGACCCAGCUUGGGCAUGAGAGGGCCAGACGGGCAGAGGAACAGUGGGAGCAAACCAGAACAGCCAGCCUUGCAGGGAGCCCCCUCGAGUAGCUCCCUCUUCCAUGUUCUCAUAGUUCUAUUAUGUUCUAUUAUUACACUUAUCACAUGGCAUCUGUCAUUGUUUGUUUACUUGUCCACUCUCUCACUGGACUGCGAAUGCUGCUCUAUUGUGCCCAUCCUCUUUGUAUUCUUAUGGCCUAGCAAGGUGUUUAUCAUCCUCACAGUAGCCAACACUGAGAGCCAGGCAGUGUUGUCAGCACUUUGCAUGCAUUACCUCAUUUAAUUCUCACAGAAGCCCUAUGAGGUAGGUCCUGUCAUUACCUUAUUACCCCAUUUCGUAGAGGAGGAAAUGGAGGCACAGAGAGGUUAAGUAACUUGCCCAAAGUCCCAGCUGCUAAGAGGUGGGGCUGGGGUGUGAAUCCAGGCAGUCUGAAUGCCAUAAGUGCCCAAUAGAUGUUUGUUGAUGAAUGAAUAAGAAUUUUACACAGAGAAGGCUAUUGAUUGAUUUCACACCUCAUCAGAUUCCCAAAAAGAUUCAAGGCGGAUGACUUUGUAUAUUUCAAAAUGUUACCUAUAUAAGCUGUUCAAGUAUCUUUUCCCAAGUACAUGUUUGUGUUUAUCAUCUCGCAACAAUUUUCUGAGUUAUUUUGGGCAGGUGUUUUUAUCCCUUUUGAUGGAUGAAGAACCGGGCUCUGAGAGCUUCUGGGGGAGUCUGAAGUCACACAGCAAUGCUGGCAGAGCGCCUGGAAGAGGCCUUCCUGACUCCCUCCUGAUUCUAUAUCACUGCUGAUUGCCUCGUGGAUGAGGAGCUGUUCCUCCCUAAAAGUCUGGAGAGAAAAUUAUAGAAGAUGAGACCUUCCCAGGCUUGACGCUGACCCCACCGGAAAGGAGAAACAAUCAAGAGAACAAAAAUCAAGAACAAUCAAGACAGUACGGAAAAGGAAGAAUGAAUUUGGGCGAGAAAGAAGAUACUGUCAUCACUACAUGAUCAUGUUGAUAUGGGAUCCACUGGAUUAAUUCAACCAGCUUGUCUCUUCCCAGAUUGGGUAGCCCAGGUCUGUAAGAUCCUGCACCCAGGAGCCUGCCUAUGCCCAGUGGCAGGGCUGGGCUGCCCCCUGCCCCUUCAGCUCAGACCUGGGCAAGAUGGAUAGUUAAAGCAUUUGGUCAACUUCCUUGGGGACACAAAUUCAGACCUUCUUAGAACACACCUACCCCGUCAACCACCCUGCAAGCAAAGCAGGAUAUUGGUUUUUUAAACUCCAAUAUAUUUUGCCAAAUAAGAGAGUGUUAAUACCCCUCCCUCCCCACUCCGCAUGAAUUGGAUUACUUAAGGCAUCUUUUCAGAGCCGUCAGCAGUUUAAUAGAGGCAAUAAGUCAGGGCUGCCCUUGUGUUUUAUUUUUCUGCCAGUAUUUAGUUAAUUAAAGAAUGCAAAUUAAAACACCUUAAUUUAUAUAAUAUCAAUACCAACGCCUUAAAACAUUUGGCAUAACUGCUCUGGCACGUCCCUUACAUAAACUCUCCAGAGCAGUGCUAAUAAAAAUGAAAAAGGUUGUAAAUCAAAUUUAAUUUAUUCAUCUUCUGUUUGGUACAAAAUCAUAUGCCAAAAUCCAGUUAUUUAUAAGCACCUCAUAACAAUAGGCAUUUUUGUUGGUUGCCAACGACAAAAAGGGUUUUUCCCAGGGAUGUGUGUUUUAAUUUACAAAUGUCUCUAGGUACAUCUAUUUUCUGGGCUCUGAUCUCGAAAAUUUAUAUUUUUGCACCCUAUCUCCAGAAAAAAAAUAGAUUUAGAUAUUGAAAAACAUUGAGCCUAAAAACAUGGCAACAUUUGCUCAGAAAGGCACCUGCAACCAUCUAUAUGGAGAAAGACAUAUACAUACGUCCCAUGGAGUAUGAAUCUUCAGGUGAGAUAAAAGCUUGGUGAUUUAUAUCCGAUUUCUUAAAUAUUCCAUUAAGAGGAUUAUUCGCAGGAGGCUCCGAUACAGACAGCGUCGGAGGAGAUUGGGUGUGCUGCUGCUUUCUUGGAAGCCUUGGAGAUGAACCACAUGUACGUGAAUGAAUAGCCGAACACCCAUUUUCAUCCCUCCCCGCCUUUGCUGGUAUAUCUUUCUUUGUCUGGCGGAUUUGAGCGUAGAGUACAUUUUAUUCAGUCCUAGAGGAAGAACAGUGGGCUCCAUUCAGGGGUACUGAGGGAUGGCAUGCUCCCUCUGCUUCCCAUGGCAAAGCUCCCUAACGCAAUUGUCCUUUGAAACUCCCUUCCUCACCCAGCUUUCAGCUCCCCUCUUUGCUCAAACAGGUCUCGGGGCAUGUGGGAGAGUUGAGAAAAGCUUUGGAAAAGCCCUCUCUACCCUAUCGCGUCCUUAAAAACCUGAGCAAAUUCACAAAUACAACUCUCUAGCUAGCCCAUGGCCUCACUACUUGGGAGGAAAAAAUCCAGUACUAUACUAUACCCUAUUUUUUUCAUUAUCUUUUAACAUGAGAUUACAAGCUUGGCACAAGAGGUAGAAUAUUGGGGUUCCUCAUUUGGGGAAAUGAUGCAGAAGUGGCAUGUGGCAUCUCUCUGUGACCUGGGACAGUCAUGGGUCCUGGGCUGCCACUAGGUUGUGGGGAUACUAAUACAAAACUCCAAAUAAAAUACAUUCAGGCGGUUCCCUUUCUGAUGUUAAAAAUGGUGAUGCAACUUUUACAUUGCUUCCAUUUGGAGCUAAUGGGAUGCCCUCCCUAGUCUCAGAUUCAUUGCAAUAAUGAUCUAGAAACUUACAAUUUGUCAAGUAGAUGCUUCUUUUUGGGGGGUACCAAGCAGAGCCAGACAAGGUCUUAGAAAACUUAACUGCCCCCCCCAACUCCCCUCUACCCCCUCCACCCUAUAGUGACUCACUGGGUCAUGGGAACAAAGUCUGGUGUGGCAGACAACCCAGCUUGAGGGGCAAGCGGAGCUUCUUGCAUUUUGUCAGGACACCUAGCAUCAGUUUCUCUGCGGCGGGACUGGAGGGAGUGCUGUGGGCAGUUCCUCGGGGCGUCCACGUGGAGCCUGUACAUCCCCACGUGUGAUCGUGGGCAUACUCUUUCUCACUUUUUCUUGCUAUGUGCCAUCUUUAAAAGCUAAUUUUUACCUUUAUAUUUAUUUAUACCCCUCGUAGCUCCAUAAAAGAUUUCAUGUUGCUUACAAUUCAAAACAUAGAUACAGUAAAACCUGAAGCCAUUAACAGAAAAGUAACAAGAUCAGAGCCAAGUACAAAGGAGGAGGGGGAGGAAGAAGCAGAGUAAUUAUACCAGAGGGGGAAAAACUUAGAUUAAGGAAAGCUAAUGCAAUUGAGAACAAUACCUGGCUCCUAACUCCCUGGUAGCUUGGCGGGCGGCUGCCAGCUAUUGUAAUAACUAUGGAUUAUUGCACCUCAAAGGCAGGUUUAAAUGCCUGCUGAGGGCUCACUGGAUCUGUGAGCUUGGUCAAGCGACUCCAUCUCUCUGAAUCUCUGUUUCCUCAUCUGUAAAAUGAGGAUUAAGUCACCCACCAUAGGAUUCUUGAGAGAAUGCCAUUCCACAACGAUGACAGUCGCUCUCACUUAGCACGCACUGUGUACAGUUACUCUCCUAAGUGUUUUACAGACAUAUAUUUCAUCAAUUCUAAGAUGCAUUUUUUUCACAUUUAACAUCUCUGACACUGAUUUAAAAAGCAUUGUGUCACAGAUUAUUUCGUAGCAUUUUUUUUCUUUCUUUCUUGGACCUAAAAUAAUGAUGCAUUGUAGAUUAGAUGGAAUAUGUUAUUAACUCAUUCAACCCUCACAAUAACUUUAAGUGGUUUUUUUGGCCCCAUUUUACAGAUGAGAAAACUGAGGCACAGAACAUUUAAAUGACCUGUCCAAGGGCUACAGCUGACAAACAGUGGAGCUGGGAUUGUGAUCCUAGGCUAUUUGACUCCACCACUACACUAUCCUGCCUUUCAAAAAAAAUUUCAGCAACAAUCAUUUCAACAAAAAUUUCACUCUUGGGCAGUGGGGAUAUGAGAUGAAAAGACAUGUAGUUGCCCUAAAAGAUUAGACUCUCCAGUGAAGGGAACCAAUGUGUAAACAAAGCAUUGUAUCUCACGCAUUAAGUGCAUCAGUGGAAAUACAUCCCAGGCACAGAGGCAGAGAGGGGAGAGAUGAUUGGUUUCUUGUAAGCCUCUGCCCUAGUGCUUAGCUCUGUAGCAGAAACUUCCCUUCCAGCAGGUCAGGAGAGACGCAUGUUUCCUUGUCUCUGAGAGGAGUCUGUUGGGUGGACCCUCAAAUGAUAGCCGAUGAGCAACCUCAGUGGACACACUCCAACAGCAGAGAACAGAAAGCACAGGCGCUCCUAUGGCUGUUCCACCUACGAACACAAGAUGAGAGCUGGGGGCAGCAGGUCUUAAGGGAGCAUCAUGCUCUCAGGCAAGGUUUGGAAGUGGCUUUUGGAGCAGAGACAGAGGGAGAGUUUUGGCCUCUCAUUGCUAGGCUGGAGGCUCUGUCCCUGGACACCCAAACCAGGAGGGUGAGGAGCCAGGGGAGGACUUGAAAAGGGGAGCACGAGGAAGGGAAACAGGAAUGACCUACCUGUUUGGAGUCAGCAAGUGCAGCUUCAGGAGGAAUGGACCAACAGUCACUGGGAUGCAGUGAGGGGCAGUGAAGGGAGGAGCAGACUUGGAGGGAGAAUACCUGAGUUUGGGACCAAUUUUGCCUCUUGGGAGCACGUUAUCCUUUGAGUUUCAAUUUUAUCUUCUGUCUAAUGGGCAUAACGAUAUCGCACUCUAUCUCACACAGUUGUUAAAAGAUCAGUAAGAUAAUAGAUGUGAAAGUACUUUCCAACUAAAUAAUGCUACGGAAAUGUGAGUUAUUAUUGCUGUCUUUCCAGCCAGGUACUUGCUCUUUCAUUUCCUUACUGGCUGUGUGAGCUUGGACAAGUUACUACAGGGGAAGCGAGAAAAGCACUGGGAGCACGGCUUGCCCAACAGUCUCCAGCCAUCACUAAAGGGACUUGACUUAGAACUCGAAGCUCCUCCUGGCUGGAGUCUCACUGACCCCAGACCUAGUGAGGAAGCUCGGGGGCUGCAGGAGCCCCUCUAGAGUUCAGGGACUCUGCCCCCAGAUGGGGAUGGGGUUCUCACCUUCAUUACUCAUUGCCUCCACUCCUUCAACCCCAGUCCAGCCGGCAGCAAUGAGCUGACACUGUGAGCGAGCUUUGGGUGUAUCUUCUUCCAAGAAUAAAGGAAGUUCGGCAGCCAGUAAAUCGGUACUUAACAAAACAAAGAAAUAAAACCAAAGCAAAUCCAUUCUGACAGAACUUCCCUGAUAAGGAAUAUUUUCUAAUAGUUCGAACAGAAUAAAACCUAUAUUAUUAUUAUUUUUUUUGUGAGGAGGACCAGCCCUGAUCUAAUAUCUGAUGCCAGUCCUCCCCUUUUUUCCUUGAGGAAGAUGGGCCCUGAGCUAACAACCGUGGCCAUCUUCCUCUACUUUAUAUGGGACGCCGCCACAGCAUGGCUUAACAAGCGAUGUGACCGUGCACGCCCAGCCGGAACCUGCGAACCCCAGGCUGCUGGAGCGGGGCUCGCGCACUUAACUGCUUGCGCCACCUGGCCGGCCCCCAAACCUAUAUUAUUAAAUCAUCUUCUAGACCAAACAAGAAUGGGUCAGAAACCCCACUGGACCCGAGGCCCCGGCCUUAGCCAGGGGGGGUCUGUGACCUGGUUCACUGGUGUGGCCUCCAGGAGGGGGUGGUCCAAAGGUUCCCGGAUCUGAAGGCCUCGCAGCCUGCAGCCUGGGAGGGGAAGGGAGGCUGCCCAGGAGGGGGAGGGGACCGGUGUCAACAGGCCGCUCCGGGGACAGCAGAAGCCGACUCCACCUCUUCUGGCCUUUCCUGAGAGGGAGAGGGAAGGAGGAAGUAGGAGGAGAAAGAGGAGGAGUAGGAAGAGGCCUGGGAGCUGGGAGGGUGAAGCAAAGAGAAGGGGUUAAAAAGAGGAAGGAAGUGAGGAGAAGGAGGAAGCAGUGGGGUGGAAGAGGGCUGGACCAGCGGACCAGGAACAGAGUAGCCAUUUGCGGGCACGUGGAAGGCCUAGCAUGCCCACCCCGCCCCGCCAUGGUCGCCUGGGGGCCCAGUCUCAGCAUGUCCCACUCCUCUCCGUGCCUCACCCUUCUGGGAGGCGCGGGCAUUCCGAGCAGGGCCUGCCUUCCUCGGCAGCGGACAAAAGGCCAUUUCUGAGUUACACAGAAAAUGUGUUACUUUAGAGGGUCGGGGAAAGGCUGGCUGCCGGGCCCAGGACCGAGGGGAGCGUCAGCAGAGGGGGGCUGUCAGUCACCGGGAACCCUCCGUGAAAGGGGCCCCUUGUCAACUUCCCCUGCCUUUGAAGUGACUGGGAUGGAGGUGCUCAAUUAAAAGCCCAUCAGUCUGUAAGUAAAUCAACGCCUAUCAGGCUUGUCACAUCAAACAAACGAUUAUUACCCCAGCCCGCCCACCCCAUUAAUCUGGCUGUUCCUUCUUGACGCUCAGGGUCAGGGCACCAUAAAUCCUGUACUGGAUUGCAGCCACCUGGAUCGGGAUGAAAGCGCUGGCGCAACAAGCGCGGCUCACUCAGGCAUUUCCCAGAGUCCUCCGGGGGCUGGAGGAGGAGGCACUAGAGACUGAGGCAGAACAGACGCAUUGAGACAGGGCGAAUGAGGAGGUCUGACGCUGGACAGAGACACAAGGAGCUAGAGACCGAAAGGAACUGAAGGAGACGGGGAAAAGAGCUGGAGAGAGAGCCCGAGAAAAUAGGCCAAGACGGAAAUAACUGGAAGAGGAGACCAAAAGUGGUUGAGAUAGGUGCCAUAAAAACUCACCCAGAAUGUGAAGAGUGAAUAGAUGCUUCUAGAAGACAAGGAGGUGUCUGGAUGAAAUUUCUCCGACACUGGGUUCUGAGUCUCAGAGUCAGAGAGUGAUCAAGUCUAGACUGCUGUUUCCUCAGCUCCCCUGCCAUUCCCACGGCAGCCCUAAAUGUCACUUAGCCAAGGCAAUGGUGCUGGGGAGAAGCUCAGGGCAUUGCUAAGCGAUGCCCCACAGGAGACAUCAACGUACGUGAUGGCCAGAACUUGAUCUUCUGCAAUGAAAGGAUAUGAACAGACAGCCUGGACUGGAGUGCCGGGUUCUGAUAGUCUGCUGAGCGAGUCUUUAUGAGACGCUUUGUUCCAGGACAUUUCUCCCAGGCUCUGUGGGUUGCUUUGUGGGUUCUUUCUGCUCCUGAGAUCAAGCUUUGGCUUUCCCCCACUGGAGACCAGAAAGACAGGCAGGAUAGGGAGAAGAGCAGACAAGACAGCUGUAUUCUGGGCUUGAAGGAGGGGUUGGUAGGAGGGGGAGGAGUCAGGAAGGAGGUCAAGCCUCCAGCUUGGAAGAACAAGGCAUGCUUUUUUAAGGGAAGGAAAGAACAGUCUUUCUCCUAAUGGCUAUUCCAGAAGUGCCUCAAGGCUUAACCCGCCCUGACUCGUGAUGCCUCAUAUUUAAAAGUGCCAUCACAUGCCUUCCCCAUCGCCAGAGGAGUAAUUCCCAAAAGGAAACAAGGCUGGAAGCAGAGCAGGGGAGACUGAAGAAGGGCACUUCCCCUCACCCUACCAUGGAGUGUGACGCCUAGCCUGGAAGCUUGUGGGAACUUCUUACUAGACAGGGAAGUAAAAUUCUAAAGAAUGAAACUGGACCUCUGUCUUACACCAUACACAAAAAUCAACUCAAAAUGGAUUAAAGACUUUUUGUAAUGUAAGACCUAAAACCGAAAACAUAGGGAAUAAGCUCCUUGACAUUGGUCUUGGGAAUGAUUUUUUGGAUUUGACACCAAAAACAAAGGCAAUGAAAGCAAAAAUAAACAAGUUGGACUACAUCAAACUAAAAAGCUUCUGCACGGCAAAGGAAACCAUCAAGAAAGUGAAAAGGCAACCAAUGAAAUGGGAGAAAAUAUUUGCAAAUUAUAUAUUUGAUAAGAGGUUAAUAUCCAAAGUAUAUAAAGAAUUCUUACAACUCAAUAGCAAAAAAUCCAAACAAUCUGGCUAAAAAAUGACCAGAGGGACUGAAUAGGCAUUUUUCCAGAGAAAACAUACAAAUGGAUGAUAGGUAUGUGGAAAGAUGCUCAACAUCGCUAAUCAUCAGGGAAAUGCAAAUCAAAACCACAAUGAGCUAUCACCUCACACCUGUUAGGAUGGCUUUUCUAAAAAAGACAAUAGAUAACAACUGUUGAUGAGGAUGUGGAGAAAAGGGAACCCUUAUACACUGUUGGUGGGAUUGUAAAUUGGUGCAGCCACUAUGGAAAACAACAUGGAGGUUCCUCAAGAAAUUAAAAAUAGAACUACCAUAUGAUCCAGCAAUUCCACUUCUGGGUAUGUAUCCAAAGGAAAUGAAAACAGGAUCUCAAAGAGAUAUCUGCCCUCCCAUGUUCAUUGUGGCGUUACUCACAAUAGCCAAGAUAUGGAAACAACCUAAGUGUCCAUCAAUGGAUGAAUGGAUAAAGAAGAUGUAAUAUAUAUAUGAAUAUCAUUCAGCCAUGAGAAAGAAGGAAAUCCUACCUUUUGCAACAACAUGGAUGGACCUUGAGGGCAUUAUGAUAUUUGCUAAGCACCUACUAUGUCCAAGUAACAUGCACCACAAGAAGGCAAGGAAGAAUCAGAAACAAAUCCUGUCAUCGUAGGUGAGAGGCCAUGAAUCUUUCAAGAAAAAGCCGCAUCCAAGAAUUCUGCACGUCUUGUGAGGAUGAAUAAAAGGCAGAAUGUCGACUUUCCCACCUUAGCAUUUCAAAAGGAGGAAACACUCCAAAAUCACACACAGGGUCUGUGAUAAAUGAUCCAUGAUUCAGACGUAAUAGAGAAUAUAAAAAGAACAAAGAAAAAAGACAUUGUUAGAGAGAAAUGAGAUUCCCUUCAAAAGAUGUUGCUCCUCACCCACCGUGGUUGAAACUGACCAUCUCUUCAGUGACACAAAUUGGCCAUGGAGGGGCCAAGGAACAUCCCUUUAAGCUGAUGUUCCAGAAAAACUGUUUCUGCACUCUGUGUCAACCCUCAAAAUUUCACUAUAGUUUUAAUAUAAAAAUUGUGAUGAUA
Long non-coding RNA from Diceros bicornis minor, 12615 nucleotides. RefSeq lists it as uncharacterized. NCBI's taxonomy places the organism in Eukaryota, Metazoa, Chordata, Mammalia, Perissodactyla, Rhinocerotidae. The transcript is spliced from 5 exons. The record is from RefSeq and is a predicted model, not a curated record.